AAGUCGUAACAAGGUUUCCGUAGGUGAACCUGCGGAAGGAUCAUUACUGAAUUGUCAAACGGGUUGUUGCUGGCCCUCAUAGGGGGCAUGUGCACGCUCUGUUUACACAUCCACUCACACCUGUGCACCCUCUGUAGUUCUAUGGUCUGGGGGACCCUGUCUUCCUUCUGUGGUUCUACGUCUUUACACACACACUGUAAUAAAGUUUUAUGGAAUGUACAUCGCGUCUAACGCAAUACAAUACAACUUUCAGCAACGGAUCUCUUGGCUCUC
This 273-nucleotide unclassified non-coding RNA is filed under the name Tomentella sp. RNAcentral's name for it is "partial internal transcribed spacer region". The stretch from base 1 to 46 matches the Rfam family "Eukaryotic small subunit ribosomal RNA", at positions 1786 to 1831 of the family's 1831-position model. Lineage: Eukaryota; Fungi; Basidiomycota; Agaricomycetes; Thelephorales; Thelephoraceae. The record is from RNAcentral. RNAcentral also lists the same sequence under 2 other names.